Molecule: RNA transcript, 7976 nt
Organism: Equus quagga
Lineage: Eukaryota; Metazoa; Chordata; Mammalia; Perissodactyla; Equidae
Gene: QKI
Gene name: QKI, KH domain containing RNA binding
Exons: 8
Source: RefSeq, a predicted model, not a curated record
UGAGCCCGCAUAAGGAUGAAAAUGAAUUUUUGUCCAUAUGCUAAUGAGACCAUAUUGCAAAGUGAAAUUAGCAGAGUACGGAAAGACAUGUACAAUGACACAUUAAAUGGCAGUACAGAGAAAAGGAGUGCAGAAUUGCCUGAUGCUGUGGGACCUAUUGUUCAGUUACAAGAGAAACUUUAUGUGCCUGUAAAAGAAUACCCAGAUUUUAAUUUUGUUGGGAGAAUCCUUGGACCUAGAGGACUUACAGCUAAACAGCUUGAAGCAGAAACAGGAUGUAAAAUAAUGGUCCGAGGCAAAGGCUCAAUGAGGGAUAAGAAGAAGGAGGAGCAAAAUAGAGGCAAGCCCAAUUGGGAGCAUCUCAAUGAAGAUUUACAUGUACUGAUCACUGUGGAAGACGCUCAAAACAGAGCAGAGAUCAAAUUAAAGAGAGCCGUUGAGGAAGUGAAGAAAUUACUGGUACCUGCAGCAGAAGGAGAAGACAGCCUGAAGAAGAUGCAGCUGAUGGAGCUUGCGAUUCUGAAUGGCACCUACAGAGAUGCCAACAUUAAAUCACCAGCCCUUGCCUUUUCUCUUGCAGCAACAGCUCAGGCUGCUCCAAGGAUUAUUACUGGGCCUGCGCCUGUUCUCCCACCAGCUGCCCUGCGCACUCCUACGCCAGCUGGCCCUACCAUAAUGCCUUUGAUCAGACAAAUACAGACCGCUGUCAUGCCAAACGGAACUCCUCACCCAACUGCUGCAAUAGUUCCUCCAGGGCCCGAAGCUGGUUUAAUCUACACACCCUAUGAAUACCCCUACACGUUGGCACCAGCUACAUCAAUCCUUGAGUAUCCUAUUGAACCUAGUGGUGUAUUAGGUAUGGCUUUCCCAACGAAAGGCUAAGAAUUCAAGAACGGUCUUAACUGAACCCUCAUCAGAUCUGAAUUUAACAAAUGCUUAGUCUCAGCAGCCUCUGGGGGGGUGGGGGGAAGCUUAGCCUAGCAGUCAGUGACUUACUUGCACUUUUUGCACACUGAUAGAAAAUAAAAGUAUGUUAUUAAUUUGGUUUAGUCUGAAUCUUACAAAGUAACAGUAAUUUAUAAAGGAGUGUGUAGUAGUAUACUGACUGCUAAGUGUACUAUACUGUUUGCUUUACUAAUCACCUAAUUCAUUGCAGUUCAUACUUAUUGACUCAAAGUUUAAAACCACAAUCUGUAGGCUUUAAGAAUUGCUUUUAAACCUUUUUAAGUGAUAAACUCUGGAUGGUCUUAAGGUUAGCAAAUAAUUGUCAGUAUUAAACAUGGCAUUAUUUAAGUAGUCCUGCUGCAAGAAAGGCACUUCAGUGAAUAUGUGACUAGUAAAGCUUAAAUAUGUUUGGAUCUAAUAGAGUUCAUGAAAUACUGUAACCUGGGAUUGUAAAUGAAUGGAUGAAAUAGGUUAAGGCCAAGAUGUUUGAAAUGAAUGCAAUAUUAAUAGAUGCAUAUAUACGCAACAUAUUAUGGUUAAUUUUAAAACUACUGUGCCUUAACGUGUUUCUUAAAACGAAACUUUUGUAGUAAAUGAACAUUUGAAAUCCAUUUUGAUAAACCUGCUGUUAAUGUUUGUUUUCUUUUCCCCUGUGAAUGUUUUCUAACUUUGUCUUGGUAAUUGCAAUUUAACUAGGUGCGGUGGCUACUAAAGUUCGAAGGCACGAUAUGCGUGUCCAUCCUUACCAAAGGAUUGUGACCGCAGACCGAGCCGCCACCGGCAACUAACCUAUGACCUUCUGACCUCUGAACUCUUCACCCAAUGAUGACCUGACCAUGCCUGCCUGCUGAUCAGUUAACUGGUAAUCGCCUUUGCUUGCCUGUCGUCAGUGCAGCGAGCUGAGGCACUUGUCCGUUCGUCUUACCAUCUAACCAAACAAAAGACAAAGAAAUUGUUGUCCUCCAACUCAGCUUUUGGUUUUUUUUCUGUUUGGGUGAAAGUGGUUCUAGAACCUGCACUGAAUAGUAGUAAAGCAAUAAGGCCCAAUUCAUCCCACAGCACUGAUCAUCUUUUAAUGUCCCACCCUAAGCGAACGGUAAGAAGGCCUCACUUCAGAAGGGGAGACAGAUGGCCCUUACCUACUCAAUGACAGAGGCAGUUACUGUGAGAGACUUCUAGGAAUCUUUUCUUCUCAUAGCGAGUCCAGGCUCUCUGAAUGUACUGUGUGAUGAUGCAUCAUGCAUGAACCUUCGGUCAGGGAUGUCAUUGGUGAAGUGAUCUCAAAAAGUAUUCAAAAUUUGAUAUGCUGUUUAGUCACUACAGUGCCCUCAAAGGGCAGAAGUUGCAGCCUUUUUUAUAUUGCCUGCCAAAAUUUGAAGUAUUAGAAGUGUGCCAUGAGACAAAAACUUAAGGAAUUUUGAAAAGUAAUGCAAAGAACAAAACUGCAACACUAUUUUUAAAAAGAUAAAUAUCUGAGUUAAAAUUACUGAACCUUUAUUUUACACCUCCUUAAAAAAAUAUAUGAGAACAAGGUACAUGCAUUAUGUGUCACAUUACUGGGCAAACUGUUCAAAUAUUUUUUUUAAACCUCCCUGUAUAGAAAAAAAUCAUUAAGGAUGUAAAAGCCAUGCUUGCCUAUUUGCUGUAUACAUGUAAUGAAAUUGUAGAUAAAGUGUAGUGCAUUGAAACAAAUGAACAAAAAGUAGAUACUUUUACUAUACAAGGGUGCUGGUGCAGAAAAAAAUAUAUAUAUUUUUGGAAAUGUAGCAUUUUAUACUUUCAAGUGUUAUAAAAAAAAAAGAAAAAGAACAAAGAAUCCCUUUAUUUCAUUAAAUGAUUUUUUCUGGUGGUUGUCAAGAAACAAAAGACCAAAAGAGCCUUUUUGUCUUUCUUUUUUAUUUUUUAAGUAUUGGAAUAAGUCUAAAGAAAAGAAAGUGCCUUAUUUUCCUUCAUGGUCAUUUAGUCAAGUGUCUCGUAAGAUCAGCUCCUCCCUCAGAAUACCAGUUAAUGCAUGUUACUCAGUCGCCCAGUAUGUGAAAGAAGAUAUGAGGGGAGACAAAUGAGUUGAUGGUUUGAAUUAUAUGAUUUUUGCCACGUUACCUUGAUACAAAUUUGCCAAAUCUGAUACUGUGAAAAAAUUUGAUAACUUUUCUAAUGCCUGACAAGUUUUAAAACAUCAUUCUUUUAAAAUCAUAAUUGAGUGCUUUUGGUUAUUGCACUAUUUAAUGUUAGCCCAAAGGAUUCUGAGAUAAAAAUUAUGUGUGAUCUGAACAUCAGUUUACAGACAAAAUUAGAGCUUUAUUUUAUUUGGAGAAAGAGGGGGUGUGGUGGACUUUUCCUUACUAAUUGGAGAUAAUAGUAUGCUUAGCAAACUUUUUCACAAAAAUGAACCUUUGUGAUUUUCAUUCUGGCAAACAGUGUCUUUAAAUGACCGAAAUUUAAUCAGACUUCUUUCUACCAUCUCUUUGCUGGUUUUAAUAACCUAAGCUACCCUCCCCACUCCACCCCACCCCCACACACCUUCUUUUCUUUAAAAGAUUGUGAAAAACUCACAUCAUUGUGCAUAUUAAUACUCAACUACAUGUGAGUUUCAGCUUCCAGUUUCUCUUGAAGUUCAGUUAAUUUUGUAGUGGAAGCGAUUUAUGCACAGAGCCUACAUCUAAACACUUAAGUAAAUAAUCAUUAACUGCUCGGUACCAGAUGUGGCAAAUAUUAAGUGGCAGUGGAUUCCCAGCUCAUCAACUCGUUCCCUCUUACAUACCUUCACAGCUUCACAGUCAAAGGUCAGCAGUAAGCUCAGUAAGCACCUUCCUGGUGCCCUCCUCCAUCAUCUUGUCUCACUUGGAAACGUUUUCAGUUUAUUUACUAUGCAAUAGACAUUCAUUGUUUUGUAUUCAGCUAGCUUUGGUUUAAUGUGCCACUGCUUUGUCUUUCUGUUACACAUACAGUUGUUUUGAUUUAUUUACAAUAUAUGCUGUGCCAUUUUGAUUUUUAUUUUGGUUGGUUGGUUGAAUAAAUUUGCGACACUCAAACACUUGAGGUGAUAGUAGUUUAAAACGAUACCAGUAUUUGAUCCAGUUUCAUCUCAACUAUGUUAUACCUGGACAUUUUAGAUGUUUAUCAAAGGUCUUUUAUGGGGAAGAAAAGUAAAUAUAUGAAAUAAAUGUGUGACAUUUAUGAGUAAUGUUGGCUUUGAACAAACUUUUGAAAACUUAGUUGACAAAAUUUUGGAUCAACUGAAAAAAAAGCAUGACUUUUGAAAUCUCUGAAUGCCUUGGUUCUCAGUAUUAUCAUUCUUUAUUGAAUUUAUUUCUUAUUAAAAUACGUAGUUUUUAAGACUUUUUUUCUGACAGUAUUAUGUAAUUUUUUAGCGUGGGUAGAUGGGAGUGUCGCUUGUAUGUUACCGUACAGCUGACAUGUAUUUUUGUCUAUUCUUUAUUAUCUUAGUAGUUUCAUGCUAUGUAUGUACCAUAACCAACCUAUUGCCUAUGAGAAACAUGUAAGAUAAUGUAUUUACAGCCAUUGUUACAAGUUUAUAAUGUAUUUUUCUAUCUUGUUUUAUAUGUAUGUUAUAUAACAUUCAAAAAGAAUUUUUUUCUUGAUUGAGAAAAGGAUACAAAAUGCAAAAUCCACAAUUUUGAUAACUGAAAAUUGCCAAUUGUUUUGCAGUACUUUAUUAUAUUGGGUGUCUUGUCUUUCUUGGGCUUUUAGUUAGCUAAUGAAUGAAUACGUUAGACACUUUUGGGUUUUAGUUGGGAUUUUACAUAGCUUGCAUUUUAAUUCUUUGGUUCUUUGCUGUUUCUAUUAACCCAUAGCAUUAUUUUAAUAAAUGUUAUAAUACCAACCUACUAACUCUGGACUAUGUCUGUUUAUUAACCUUUACAUGUUUAAUUAAAAUAAACAAAUAAAGACAAAAGAAUGUAAAGUCUUGAGUUACUGGACUAACCCUGAAGAACGUGACCACAGAUAACAUAGCGUGACUUGUUUUUAUGUUGUUUGUCAGCUGACAAUUCCGCACACUACUGUUAAAAUGGCUUUGGUUAUUCUGGCCUUUUACCUUGGGGGUUACGUGCCAGUAGAAAUGGGAACAAAGUAGCGUUGGUUUGAGGCAUCCUUCUAGUCUUGCCACUUGCCUUUCAGCCUCUGCAUUACUAAUUCCACACUUUAUUUUUCCUUCUCCAAAAUAAUCACUGUCUGCUCACAGCAUAAAGAGUAAAGAGAUUCAUUGUAAUGAUAAACCCCAAGAAACCAGUUUGAUUCUUUGUUGAACCAUUUCUUUUAAUUUUUGUAAAUAGGUAAUUUUAUGGUUGCAUUAUAAAGCAAAGAAUCUCACGAUGUUUUACCUUUAUUCAGAUUUGUGUUUUAAUUGGACAUUUUCCCUAUCUAAAGUGUUCAGUUGUUUUAGCCAACUGCUCCUGUUAGGGUGGCUCCGCACAGAUAAAGCCAAAGGUAGAGUGGCUCUGUUUCUCAUGACAGUCGAGGGUAAGCCAUUACGACGACACUGCACCCUACUUCUCCUCACAUGUCCUUCAGUAAGAGAUCAGACAGCAUUGCUGAGUUUUCCUCAGAUGUUCGUUCUCUCUCACCUCUUCCAAAACACAGUCAUAAUAUAGCGUUAGGACAAGAAGUGUAAAGGAGAAUAAAACUGCAUUUGAAAAGUUAUAUAUCAUUAAUUUCUUGUGUGCAAGUAAAUGUAAGAAGAUUUAUUAAAUAAUCUUCAUGCUUUUCUUGGCUGUAACCUAGGUAAAUUGACUUCUACUUACAAAUUCUUUAGUUUAACUCUUGAGGUGCCUUUUUAUUUCACAGAUAGUAGUAAUUUCCUUUUCUGUGAAACAGUUCUCCUAGAUAAUAAGAAAUUCACAGGAUGAAUUUUUGCAAUUGUAAAUAAUGGCUUAUUUUUGUAAAUUACCUCUUAUUUAUUUUAAAGUUCUAAAAUUUGAGGCUGAAAUGAGUCACAUGUUAUAGAAGACGUAACUAUACCAAUAUGCUAUUAACCAGUCAGACUGUCAAAGUAUUCCCAUAUGAUAUUUAUAUAUUCUCAUAGUGUAUAUGUAUACAAAAUACACAGAGUAGUGAUAACAGCUUAUUUAAUCGUUAUUGAGAUGGUCAUUUGCUUUGAACAGAGUUGUUUCUCUGUUGCAGGGGAUGUAUUAUUAGGUAGACAGAGCUUUAAUAUGCUACUAUCUGUAAAAGUUCUCACUGCCAUACAGUUCGUAUGUUACUCUGUAAAGAUUUGAAGAUGUCUGUUAAGCUGCUAAUAUGUAAGUCGUCAUGGUACCAUGUCACUUAAAUUGAUGAUGAAUUUCUAUGCAAUUUACUACACAUUCUCUGAAGCCUAUGAAUGCAGUCUCAUCUCAUUUGCAGUUAAGGGUACUUUAGGUAUAAUUAUGUCAUAUUGUCACCUCUGUUGGCAAAGUUGUAAAACUGUUUUUAAAAGGUGAAAAUAAUAUUACGAAUCCCAUUUUUAUACAGGCUGUAGUAGCAUUAAACAUGAAACUACCAAAUUCUUAGAAUGAUAAAUGCUGGAGUCAGUUUAUUGUUUCAUACUAUUAUUUGGCUAAACAGUUGCAAGUUAAGCUUUCAGUUGAGAAGCUGCUGAAAUUAAUGCACUUAGUAGUUAAGCGUUUUUUUCCUUAGGCAAAAUGUCAAGAAAAAUGUAGUGUGAAAGAAGAUAUUCACAUAGGCCUCAGUGCAGUGGCUCUCAGUACUGCAGAGCUCACCUAGAGGGGCAAGCGAAGUGCCCCGUCCUUGAAGCCAGGAGGAGCGUAGUGAACAUGAGGUAGGUGGGUGGGUAAGGGUUUCUAGAUAAAUACUAGAUAGGUACAAAGGAUCUAAAUUUUCUAGGGUACUGAAAGCAGGCAAUGGAUUUAAAUGAAAUUGCCCGUUACCAAAUCAAGAAUCUUCUUAACUGGUGAAGUCUAAUUUUAUAUCUUAUAUAUGACAGUCUAAGUUUCUCCAGUUUUGGAGAGUUUUUUGUGUGCUUGUUUAGGAUAAGAUGUCUGUCUUUAUUCUUUGAUAACAAUUAGCUAUCAUAAUAUUUCCAGAAAGUGAUUUUUAGUAGAAUGAAAUGUAUUGCUAAAUUAUAAUUCAUUAUUUAAUAGCAAAAAUUACUCUCAGAAAACUUUUUGGACUUGCACCCUUUCUAAGUACAUAAAGUAAUUUUUUUAACAUUUCACAAAUUUCUUAAUACAUUUAUUUUAAAUGGAAGAAAAUUCAUUUUAUAGAUAACACUUUUAGAAAUAUUCGUAUGGUACACACAUGUAAUUUUUUAUCUGGUUUCUUUAGUAUAAAAUUGUCUAAAUUGGAAUGCCCUUGUUAUGAAGAGAUGACAGACUUAUCUGCAUAGCUGGUGCUCAAUGCUGAAUCAAACUGGUGUUCACCUAAGCAUAGUACUUCCCUUUCUGUGUUUCUGCUGCACUAAUUGCCAGGGUGGGAGAGAGAGGGGAAGAAUUCUUUCUCGGUAGAAGUGGAUGGUAGGUGCAGCAAAUAACACUACGUUGAUAUUGCAAUGCUUAAGAUUUUGCUGUCCCUUGUUGACAAAAGACACCACGUUGUAGAAAAAGCUUAGCUCCCAGGGUAAAAAAUUGUAUCUUUUUAAAAAUGCUAUUAUUGAGAAAUUUUGGUUACCAAAUACAUCUUUGAUGGUUUAUAUUGUAGUGUGUAUAAAACAUUUAGAAUUUUAUUUGUGGAGAUUGUAUAUAUAGAGAAGAGUUGGAAUAGGGCUUCCCAGAUCACCUGUGAAUGGAGAACCGCGUAUGACUGUACAUGAAGUGCAAUAAACCAACUGGAAAAGUGCAUGUGCUUCAUCCUCUCAAGCUGCCUGCAGCUGAAGAUGCUGCUUAUGGGCCCCCAUAAAACCACGUAUAGAUAUCAGGAUAAAAAGUACACAUCUUCAUUUAAAAUUUUUAUUGACGCUUUUAACACCGUUUAAAAGAAAAUAGAAAAAUCUGACAUCCUGGAACUCUUAAUAUCUUUGGAAGAAGAUCCUAAGAUUUGCCCUGAUUUCAGUGAUUAAAAACGGACUCAGUGAA